GAGUUUGAUCUGGCUCAGGACGAACGCUGGCGGCGUGCCUAAUACAUGCAAGUCGAACGCUUCUUUUCCCACCGGAGCUUGCUCCACCGGGAAAAGAGGAGUGGCGAACGGGUGAGUAACACGUGGGUAACCUGCCCAUCAGAAGGGGAUAACACUUGGAAACAGGUGCUAAUACCGUAUAACAAUCGAAACCGCAUGGUUUCGUUUUGAAAGGCGCUUUACGGUGCCGCUGAUGGAUGGACCCGCGGUGCAUUAGCUAGUUGGUGAGGUAACGGCUCACCAAGGCCACGAUGCAUAGCCGACCUGAGAGGGUGAUCGGCCACAUUGGGACUGAGACACGGCCCAAACUCCUACGGGAGGCAGCAGUAGGGAAUCUUCGGCAAUGGACGAAAGUCUGACCGAGCAACGCCGCGUGAGUGAAGAAGGUUUUCGGAUCGUAAAACUCUGUUGUUAGAGAAGAACAAGGGUGAGAGUAACUGUUCACCCCUUGACGGUAUCUAACCAGAAAGCCACGGCUAACUACGUGCCAGCAGCCGCGGUAAUACGUAGGUGGCAAGCGUUGUCCGGAUUUAUUGGGCGUAAAGCGAGCGCAGGCGGUUUCUUAAGUCUGAUGUGAAAGCCCCCGGCUCAACCGGGGAGGGUCAUUGGAAACUGGGAGACUUGAGUGCAGAAGAGGAGAGUGGAAUUCCAUGUGUAGCGGUGAAAUGCGUAGAUAUAUGGAGGAACACCAGUGGCGAAGGCGGCUCUCUGGUCUGUAACUGACGCUGAGGCUCGAAAGCGUGGGGAGCAAACAGGAUUAGAUACCCUGGUAGUCCACGCCGUAAACGAUGAGUGCUAAGUGUUGGAGGGUUUCCGCCCUUCAGUGCUGCAGCUAACGCAUUAAGCACUCCGCCUGGGGAGUACGACCGCAAGGUUGAAACUCAAAGGAAUUGACGGGGGCCCGCACAAGCGGUGGAGCAUGUGGUUUAAUUCGAAGCAACGCGAAGAACCUUACCAGGUCUUGACAUCCUUUGACCACUCUAGAGAUAGAGCUCCCCCUUCGGGGGCAAAGUGACAGGUGGUGCAUGGUUGUCGUCAGCUCGUGUCGUGAGAUGUUGGGUUAAGUCCCGCAACGAGCGCAACCCUUAUUGUUAGUUGCCAUCAUUUAGUUGGGCACUCUAGCAAGACUGCCGGUGACAAACCGGAGGAAGGUGGGGAUGACGUCAAAUCAUCAUGCCCCUUAUGACCUGGGCUACACACGUGCUACAAUGGGAAGUACAACGAGUCGCGAAGUCGCGAGGCUAAGCUAAUCUCUUAAAGCUUCUCUCAGUUCGGAUUGUAGGCUGCAACUCGCCUACAUGAAGCCGGAAUCGCUAGUAAUCGCGGAUCAGCACGCCGCGGUGAAUACGUUCCCGGGCCUUGUACACACCGCCCGUCACACCACGAGAGUUUGUAACACCCGAAGUCGGUGAGGUAACCUUUUGGAGCCAGCCGCCUAAGGUGGGAUAGAUGAUUGGGGUGAAGUCGUAACAAGGUACCGUAA
Molecule: ribosomal RNA, 1522 nt
Filed under: Enterococcus mundtii
Lineage: Bacteria; Bacillati; Bacillota; Bacilli; Lactobacillales; Enterococcaceae
Description: bacterial SSU rRNA
Rfam family: Bacterial small subunit ribosomal RNA
Source: RNAcentral